RNAcentral lists this ribosomal RNA (699 nucleotides) under uncultured fungus. Its description in RNAcentral is "SSU rRNA". It matches the Rfam family "Eukaryotic small subunit ribosomal RNA", at positions 392 to 1092 of the family's 1831-position model. The record is from RNAcentral. Lineage: Eukaryota; Fungi.
GAGCCUGAGAAACGGCUACCACAUCCAAGGAUGGCAGCAGGCGCGCAAAUUACCCAAUCCCGACACGGGGAGGUAGUGACAAUAAAUAACAAUACGGGGUUCUUUAGGAUCUCGUAAUUGGAAUGAGUACAAUUUAAAUCUCUUAACGAGGAACAAUUGGAGGGCAAGUCUGGUGCCAGCAGCCGCGGUAAUUCCAGCUCCAAUAGCGUAUAUUAAAGUUGUUGCAGUUAAAAAGCUCGUAGUUGAAUUUCGGGGUUAGUAGGUUGGUCAUGCCUCUGGUAUGUACUGGUCUCACUGAUUCCUCCUUCCUUAUGAACCGUAAUGCCAUUAAUUUGGUGUUGCGGGGAAUUUGGACUGUUACUUUGAAAAAAUUAGAGUGUUUAAAGCAAGCUAACGCUUGAAUACAUUAGCAUGGAAUAAUGAAAUAGGACGUUCGAUCUUAUUUUGUUGGUUUCUAGGAUUGACGUAAUGAUUAAUAGGGAUAGUUGGGGGCAUUAGUAUUCAAUUGUCAGAGGUGAAAUUCUUGGAUUUAUUGAAGACUAACUACUGCGAAAGCAUUUGCCAAGGAUGUUUUCAUUAAUCAAGAACGAAAGUUAGGGGAUCGAAGACGAUCAGAUACCGUCGUAGUCUUAACCAUAAACUAUGCCGACUAGGGAUCGGAUGAUGUUAAUUUUUUAAUGACUCAUUCGGCGCCUUACG